UUGAACGCUGGCGGCAGGCCUAACACAUGCACGUCGAACGGUAACAGGAAACAGCUUGCUGUUUCGCUGACGAGUGGCGGACGGGUGAGUAAUGUCUGGGAAACUGCCUGAUGGAGGGGGAUAACUACUGGAAACGGUAGCUAAUACCGCAUAACGUCGCAAGGCCAAAGAGGGGGACCUUCGGGCCUCUUGCCAUCGGAUGUGCCCAGAUGGGAUUAGCUAGUAGGUGGGGUAACGGCUCACCUAGGCGACGAUCCCUAGCUGGUCUGAGAGGAUGACCAGCCACACUGGAACUGAGACACGGUCCAGUCUCCUACGGGAGGCAGCAGUGGGGAAUAUUGCACAAUGGGCGCAAGCCUGAUGCAGCCAUGCCGCGUGUAUGAAGAAGGCCUUCGGGUUGUAAAGUACUUUCAGCGGGGAUGAAGGGAGUAAAGUUAAUACCUUUGCUCAUUGACGUUACCCGCAGAAGAAGCACCGGCUAACUCCGUG
RNAcentral lists this ribosomal RNA (489 nucleotides) under uncultured bacterium. RNAcentral describes it as "partial 16S ribosomal RNA". It matches the Rfam family "Bacterial small subunit ribosomal RNA", at positions 30 to 507 of the family's 1533-position model. The record is from RNAcentral.